RNAcentral lists this long non-coding RNA (473 nucleotides) under Brassica napus (rape). RNAcentral describes it as "long non-coding RNA (BNAP_LNC012245)". The record is from RNAcentral. Lineage: Eukaryota; Viridiplantae; Streptophyta; Magnoliopsida; Brassicales; Brassicaceae.
GAUGUAUGGGUUUAGGGAUGUAAGGGUUUAGGGUAUAGUGAUUAAUAAUUUUGAUGUUGGUUUUAUAAUUAUCUAUUUAUAUUUAGUCUUUAUGAAUAGUGUAUACUGUUUUGUAGUAGGUGUGAUGAACUUUAACCCAAUGGUUAAGGGGUGUUUAUAAUUUAUGUUUAAUUGUUUAAAUAGUUAAUAGAGUUUAAACCUAUGAUAUUUGAGUUUAGGGAUGUUAGGGGUUUAGGGUAUACUCAUUACUAAUUUUGAUGUUGUUUUACCAUCUAUAACUUGUUUAUACUGUUUUGAAGAUGGUGUUCUCUAACUUAAUAUCAUGGUUAAGUUAAUCAUAAACCUAAGGGUUAACCAUAAAUUCUAUGGUUAGCUCUAAAUCCUAAGGUUAACUCUAAGCCCUAGGAUUAACACUGAGCUCUAGGGUUAACCCUAAAUCCUAGGGUUUACUCUAAUUCAUAGGGUUUAGGGUU